Molecule: ribosomal RNA, 468 nt
Filed under: uncultured bacterium
Lineage: Bacteria
Description: partial 16S ribosomal RNA
Rfam family: Bacterial small subunit ribosomal RNA
Source: RNAcentral
GACGAACGCUGGCGGCGUGCUUAACACAUGCAAGUCGAACGGAAAGGCUCCAGCUUGCUGGAGUACUCGAGUGGCGAACGGGUGAGUAACACGUGGGUGAUCUGCCCUGCACUUCGGGAUAAGCCUGGGAAACUGGGUCUAAUACCGGAUAGGACCGCACUUUGGUGUGUGUGGUGGAAAGGUUUUUCUGGUGUGGGAUGAGCUCGCGGCCUAUCAGUUUGUUGGUGGGGUAAUGGCCUACCAAGACGGCGACGGGUAGCCGGCCUGAGAGGGUGGACGGUCACAUUGGGACUGGGAUACGGCCCAGACUCCUACGGGAGGCAGCAGUGGGGAAUAUUGCACAAUGGGGGAAACCCUGAUGCAGCGACGCCGCGUGGGGGAGGAAGGCCUUCGGGUUGUAAACUCCUUUCGCUAGGGACGAAGCUUUUUGUGACGGUACCUGGAGAAGAAGCACCGGCUAACUACGUG